RNAcentral lists this small RNA (153 nucleotides) under Bacillus sp. (in: firmicutes). RNAcentral describes it as "Bacillus sp. c-di-AMP sequence". It matches the Rfam family "c-di-AMP riboswitch aptamer (ydaO/yuaA leader)". From Rfam's summary of the family: This family represents a conserved RNA structure found upstream of the ydaO and yuaA genes in Bacillus subtilis and related genes in other bacteria. The ydaO/yuaA element is thought to act as a genetic "off" switch for the ydaO and yuaA genes in its native state. The record is from RNAcentral. Lineage: Bacteria; Bacillati; Bacillota; Bacilli; Caryophanales; Bacillaceae.
GUUAACCUAUUGCUUAAUCUUUACAGAGCGGGGGAACCAUAUUGAUAUCCAGAUAGAAUUUUUGAGAUAUCUUGGGGUGUAUCGUACAUGUUGCGAAGAGGACUCUCAUUCUCUAACCCGUCAGCUAACCUCGUAAGCGUAUUGAGAGAAGGG